UCUGGAACGCCUACAACAACAGAUUGAACAGAAGUUACAGAACUGCAGACUCGCAGAGUAAGACAGCACUCCUCCACCAAACCCUAUAAUCUUAUCUACCAAAAUUUAUAGUAUCAGCGUCAGGAUAAUUUCUGAGAACACCUAAAAUAAAGAAAACCUUCAACAGGCCUUCAGACUGCACUUUUCUACCAAACCCUCUAGGUACUAAUCUUACCAUCCAUUGAAAUUUGUAACAUCAGCAUCUGGGAAACGUCGAGAAACUACUAAAAUAAAGUUACUGGAGUCGAGAUGUCAACAACAGGAAUAUAACAAGAAGCAGGCGACGGUUAGGCGUUUCUAAAGGGAAGAGGAGUCUCAAAAGCAGCGUCAUUGAACACUUCAGAGAGAAAGAACACUAAGCAAGGAAAAUAAGCUGUUUUUGAAGGCGAGAGAACUCUGAGCACAAGCUAUAUAUCUGACAGGGAGAGAAGUCUACAAGAGAUGUUACUGAAGAAAGAUUAGUUUAAGAAAUGCAGAAAGUUCCCGAAAGGUACAGAAUUCUACAUAAGUUGUUCCUGUAGAAGAGAAAAGUCGAAGAAGAAACACAGCUAGUCCUGAAGGGGAAAGAAGUUUACACAAGUUGCUGUUCCUGUAAAAAAAGUAAGAAGAAAUACUACUAGUUCCCGAAAGGGACAAGUCUACACAAGUUGCUAUUCUUGUAGGGAAUAGUCUCAGAAGAAACAACUAGUUUGCGAAGGGGAUAGAAGUAUCAAAUGCUGCUAGUUUCUAGUAGUUGAAGAAAAGUAAACAAAUGCUGCUGUUUUUGAAUAAGGGAACUACUAGUCCCCCACGUGAACAGAAUAGUUGAAGAAAUUACUAGUUAUCCUUGUUAAAAACAUUAGCUCCUAAAUAAGAGAGAACUAGUGGAGGAGAUUACUAGUUUCUGUCGAAGAAAUAACUAGUCCUGGAGAUGUCCUGGAGAUGACAUUCAAAGGAAUUUAAGAAGUUUACCAACGCUGCUGUUCAUGAAGACAAGCCUCACUUCUCAACCAUUGUUCACCAAAAUUUUUAUUUCUGGAAAAGAUUGAUAUUUCUAGGAAGUAGCUAUAUAUACUUGGCUACUUAAUCUUCUACGUAAACCAAGAUACUUCCGACUUGGAAUUUUCUACGUAAACCCAGAUGCCUCAGACUUGAAAUCUUCUACGUAAACCAAGAUGCCUUUAUACCCUCAAUCUUCCAUGUAAUGCAAAAUACUAUAUACAUACAUAUGACUUCGAAUCUUCUUCUGUGUAACCCAGGAUGAUUACAGGAGGUCUGCUGCAUCUUUGUAAAUCAUCAUCAGGAAAAUUGGGAUGUAACCAAGAUGAAUCUCUGCUGCAUCUUCAGUAACUUUACCACAGCUGUCAACUAAACUGUGCUGUAACUACGUAACAGAGAUGAAUCUCUCCUGAUCAUGUAAUCAUCUUCAGGAGCGUUACCAAAAAGCCAUCGACUAACUUUUGCAACUUUAAGCCUUAUGUUCUCGGUAACAGCAGGGAGAAUGAAUCUGUUGCGCUGUUAAUCUGAAAGCCCCUGCAUCAGAUUUAUUGGGAAAUUGCAUUCUAUCCCCAAGAAAAUUUCUAAACCUCUGCUUGUUAUGGAAUACGCCUCGUUUAAUGUCAAAGUCUUGUCUUGCUCCCCUGUAAUAUCUUUGUUUCUGGUCCCGAUGAACAGAAUUCAUACUUGUAAACUAUACGAAUAUAAAAUUCUCUCGUAAAUAUAUUAAAAUCUAAUUU
Molecule: long non-coding RNA, 1754 nt
Organism: Macrobrachium nipponense
Lineage: Eukaryota; Metazoa; Arthropoda; Malacostraca; Decapoda; Palaemonidae
Exons: 3
Source: RefSeq, a predicted model, not a curated record